Molecule: ribosomal RNA, 601 nt
Filed under: uncultured bacterium
Lineage: Bacteria
Description: bacterial SSU rRNA
Rfam family: Bacterial small subunit ribosomal RNA
Source: RNAcentral
UGACGAGUCCUUAACUGACGCUAAUGCUCGAAAGUGCGGGUAUCGAACAGGAUUAGAUACCCUGGUAGUCCGCACGGUAAACGAUGGAUGCCCGCUGUUGGCGAUACACAGUCAGCGGCCAAGCGAAAGCGUUAAGCAUCCCACCUGGGGAGUACGCCGGCAACGGUGAAACUCAAAGGAAUUGACGGGGGCCCGCACAAGCGGAGGAACAUGUGGUUUAAUUCGAUGAUACGCGAGGAACCUUACCCGGGCUUGAACUGCAGGAGAACGAUUCAGAGAUGAUGAGGUCCUUCGGGACUCCUGUGGAGGUGCUGCAUGGUUGUCGUCAGCUCGUGCCGUGAGGUGUCGGCUUAAGUGCCAUAACGAGCGCAACCCCUUUCUUCAGUUGCCAUCAGGUCGAGCUGGGCACUCUGGAGACACUGCCACCGUAAGGUGUGAGGAAGGUGGGGAUGACGUCAAAUCAGCACGGCCCUUACGUCCGGGGCUACACACGUGUUACAAUGGGUGGUACAGAGAGCUGGCUGCCUGCAAAGUCAGCCGAAUCAUGAAAGCCAUCCUCAGUUCGGAUUGGGGUCUGCAACCCGACCCCAUGAAGCUGGAU